This 325-nucleotide unclassified non-coding RNA is filed under the name uncultured fungus. RNAcentral's name for it is "partial contains 5.8S ribosomal RNA and internal transcribed spacer 2". The stretch from base 1 to 133 matches the Rfam family "5.8S ribosomal RNA", at positions 22 to 154 of the family's 154-position model. Lineage: Eukaryota; Fungi. The record is from RNAcentral.
UGGUUCUGGCAUCGAUGAAGAACGCAGCGAAAUGCGAUAAGUAAUGUGAAUUGCAGAAUUCAGUGAAUCAUCGAAUCUUUGAACGCACAUUGCGCUCCCUGGUAUUCCGGGGAGCAUGCCUGUUCGAGCGUCAUUUCACCACUCAAGCUUUGCUUGGUAUUGGGUGCUUUUGCCCCCUGGGGCACACCUGGAAAUUAGCGGCGGUACAUCAAUUCGUACAGCGUAGUAACUACUUUUCGUUGACUAUGAUAUUGAUGGGCUAGCCGGACAACCAACUAUUUUUUUUUCAAUGGUUGACCUCGGAUCAGGUAGGGAUACCCGCUGA